AGUUUUAUAUUCAAUUAAUGAUAUUAAAUUGCAAAUUUAAAGGAACAAGAUUUUGUUAAAACUU
Molecule: transfer RNA, 64 nt
Filed under: Psilotreta sp. XG-2021
Lineage: Eukaryota; Metazoa; Arthropoda; Insecta; Trichoptera; Odontoceridae
Description: tRNA-Cys
Source: RNAcentral